This 482-nucleotide ribosomal RNA is filed under the name uncultured bacterium. Its description in RNAcentral is "bacterial SSU rRNA". It matches the Rfam family "Bacterial small subunit ribosomal RNA", at positions 355 to 855 of the family's 1533-position model. The record is from RNAcentral.
UGGGGAAUCUUGGACAAUGGGGGCAACCCUGAUCCAGCCAUGCCGCGUGAGUGAUGAAGGCCUUAGGGUCGUAAAGCUCUUUCGCCUGUGAAGAUAAUGACGGUAGCAGGUAAAGAAACCCCGGCUAACUCCGUGCCAGCAGCCGCGGUAAUACGGAGGGGGCGAGCGUUGUUCGGAAUUACUGGGCGUAAAGCGCACGUAGGCGGACCAGAAAGUUGGGGUGAAAUCCCGGGGCUCAACCCCGGAACUGCCUCCAAAACUAUUGGUCUAGAGUUCGAGAGAGGUGAGUGGAAUUCCAAGUGUAGAGGUGAAAUUCGUAGAUAUUAGGUGGAACACCAGUGGCGAAGGCGCCUAACUGGUCCGGUACUGACGCUGAGGAACGAAAGCGUGGGGAAGCAAACAGGAUUAGAUACCCUGGUAGUCCACGCCGUAAACGAUGAGUGCCAGUCGUCGGGUAGCAUGCUAUUCGGUGACACACCUAA